This 253-nucleotide ribosomal RNA is filed under the name uncultured bacterium. RNAcentral describes it as "partial 16S ribosomal RNA". It matches the Rfam family "Bacterial small subunit ribosomal RNA", at positions 524 to 776 of the family's 1533-position model. The record is from RNAcentral.
GACAGAGGAGGCGAGCGUUAUCCGGAGUUAUUGGGCGUAAAGGGUACGUAGGCGGCUGGUCAAGUCUGGGGUUAAAGACCACAGCUUAACUGUGGGGGGGCCUUGGAAACUGACCGGCUGGAGUGGGGCAGGGGUUGCGGGAAUUCCCGGGGUAGCGGUGAAAUGCGUCGAUAUCGGGAAGAGCACCUGAGGCGAAAGCGCGCAACUGGGCCCUAACUGACGCUGAGGUACGAAAGCUAGGGGAGCGAAUGGG